RNAcentral lists this ribosomal RNA (384 nucleotides) under Bradyrhizobium japonicum. Its description in RNAcentral is "bacterial LSU rRNA". It matches the Rfam family "Bacterial large subunit ribosomal RNA", at positions 1 to 270 of the family's 2925-position model. Lineage: Bacteria; Pseudomonadati; Pseudomonadota; Alphaproteobacteria; Hyphomicrobiales; Nitrobacteraceae. The record is from RNAcentral.
AAUCAAGUGCCUUAAGGGUGUUCGGUGGAUGCCUUGGCGCUGAGAGGCGAUGAAGGACGUGCUACGCUGCGAUAAGCCGUGGGGAGCUGCGAAGAAGCUUUGAUCCAUGGAUUUCCGAAUGGGGAAACCCACCUUCGAUAGCCGGAACUCCAAGACCUUUGUCGAAAGACAUUGGUGUGGGGUUCGAUCAGAAAUGUGAGAUGCCUAAGCCUUUAGAUUUCGAUCGAAGAGGUUUUGGAUUUCCGGUUAUCAAGAGAAGGUAUGAGACUUCUGAAUACAUAGGAGGUUUCAAGCAAACCCAGGGAACUGAAACAUCUAAGUACCUGGAGGAAAGGACAUCAACAGAGACUCCGUUAGUAGUGGCGAGCGAACGCGGACCAGGCC